UUCUUCUCUUUUCUCGUCGCGAUCGUUGCUGAUUGUAUAUUCAUGUUGCGCGCGGCUGCUGCUGCCGUCGGCUGGUGGCGCGGCGGCUGCUACUCGUCGGACCUCCUCUACCUCCUCUCGAGAAGUGCUGCCGCCGCCGUCUGCUAGGCGACGUAAACAAGAACCGCUGCUGCAGCACGGCCGGCAGGCACCCGUCCGUGCGCCUGCGGUCGACUCUUUCCGAACGCGUCGGACACGGAUACACUGGAACCUUAUGCGUGCGUGGAAUAAUUUCCUUGCGGAUAUACUGCGACACAGUGAGUGUGAAACGAACUUUCUGACCAUUGGAUUUCGCUAGUGCGACGACAGAACGACCGCGCCACAGUGCUUCUCGGCUCUUACGUUCGUCUUCUGCAUUGUUGUAGCGUUGCGGAAAGUGCAUCAGCCUUGAGACCGCUGGAAUUGUGUAAAGUGCUUCUUCGACGUUUUUGUGCACGGAUACUGGCCAGGCUACAUCGUCUUUUUGGAAGCAGUUCGCGUUGCAGCAUUGCCGCAAACAAGUAGGUUGUGGCAGCAGCCGACCGGAGGCGCGCGGGCGGAGGGGGCUGCGCGCGCCCGACGGAAGAGCCGCGACUGCAGCGCUAUCCCCGGAGGUGGCGGCGGCGCGGGCAAGCAGCCUUCAACGCAGCAGACGGACGGCGAUGAGCGUGGCGGUGGUGUGUGUGAGGGCUGCUGCUGCUGCCGCCGCUGCGCGGCCCGAACUCCCGGCGCUGGAUGCGGGCUCUCCAUGACCGCCGCGGCGGCGCCGGAGGUGCAGCGGCCAUGGCCUCGUCGACGACGACCACCACCGCACAGACGUCGGCGCCCCCGGCCAGCGGGGGCGGCGGCGGCGGUUGCACCCCGCACCUGAAGCGAGUGCUCAAGAGCUACCAGGCGUCGGCCGUGUCGAGCCUGCAGGGUCCGCCCGCGCUCAUGGCGGCCUCGGCCGCCGCCGACCCGGGCGGCCUCGCCGACGAAGACGAGCCGCUCGAGGCGCCCGCUCUGCCGGCGAUCCAACAACCGCCGCUGCUCACGCCGCCCGACCAGGCGCAGGGCAGCGAGCGCGACGAGACGCAGCUCGAGUGGAACACCAUCUCCUGCUUCACCGUGGGCGGCGAGCAGCGGCUGUGCCUGCCGCAGAUCCUCAACACGGUGCUCACGGACCUGUCGCUGCCUCAGAUCAACAGCGUGUGCGACGAACUGCACAUCUUCUGCCUGCGAUGCAACCCCGAGCAGCUGGACGUGCUCAAGCGGGCCGGCGUGAUCCCGACGAGUGCGCCCAGCUGCGGCCUCAUCACCAAGUCGGACGCCGAGCGACUGUGCGCGGCGCUGCUUCACGCCGGUACGCCGGCGCCCGCGGAUUUGAACAACCCGGGACCCAUGGUGGUGGUGCCGGUGUACCACGAGUGCUUCGGCGGCGCCUCCGGUGUGCUCUGGCUGGAGGCGGCCAUGGUGCGGUGCCGCGAGUGCGGCCUGCUCUACUCGCCGCGCCGCUUUGUGUGCCACGGCCACGGGUCGCGCGAGAGGCGCACCUGCCACUGGGGCUUCGACUCCGGUCGCUGGCGGAACUACCUUCUCCUGGAUGACCGCGAGCCGCUCGAGGACGCCGACGCCAUGCGCGCGCUGCUGCGACAGUUCAAGGACAAGUUCCCCGACGCCGCCAAGCGGAAACAGAGCCCACUGCAUGUGGACGUAGUGAGCAAGAAAAAAAUGCGUGCUUCCCUGACCGAUGUCGAGGGUGGCGGCUUCGUGACAACUGCUGGCCCGGACUCAGCCUACUGGUACCACCAGCACAGCCAGUGGGCUAGGAACUCGGCCUUCAAGCCGUGGAGCCCCGUGCUGCUGAAGGAGCGGCCGGUGGUGGGCAAGGUGCCCCUCGGGGAGCAACUGCCCACCGCUCUCCCCUCUGCAGCCCUGCCCAUUUACCUCAAGCAUAACUUGACGUACCCCGUGGAAGCCUACCUUCCAGCGGAUGUUGCAGAAUUGCAGAAGCUAGGGCCACCAGUGCUGAAGGCAGAUCCUGACAGGCUUGACACAUCCGUGACGCUACCAGUUCUGAAAAAGGCCACUCAUGUUGCGAUGGAUGUGGUCCCCAAGAAAGAGCAUGUGCCGACUGCCUGCAGCAGGUCGUCGGAGUUGGCAUUGGGAGGCACGCCACCUGCUGGGAAGCUUGUCAACGGAAGGCUGUCUGCUGACACGGAAGAGACAAUGUCCAAUAGCAGCCUCAGCACACUGUCAGGAGUGGAAGAUGUUGGCCUGGCAGAGGAUGGCAAGGAAGGGGCUCCCCUGAUUGUGCCUGAGCUACAGGGCCUCUGGGUGGCCUUCGACCGGCACUCGCUGGGUGAGCGUGCCCGACAGGACAUCAUGCAUGAGGUCAGCCUUCUGCUGUCCUCGUGCCAGCAGCGGACACUUCCUUGCGAGCUACAAGCUGCUGCUGCAACAGCGCCAGGAGGCAGAGCCCAUGUCUUGCAAGCUGGGCUCCAUGCCCAAGGGCGGUGACAUGCCAUCCCCCCGUAUGCCACCGCCGCCAACGAGUGCACCUGCAUCUCCACCUGGCACGCAGCCGCAGCCACCACCAGCGGCCACCUCCCCUGAAGUGUCGGUGCACGGCUCCCCGGUGAACUUGUGCGAGGCCAAGGAGCCUGCGGCCCGCAGUCCCCAGACUCCCCCCAAACCACCAGUGGAACAACACAAGAUGCUCCUUGCCGCCUGAAGUGGCGGUGCCGCAGAAGCAUCGCAUCGCACAUUGCAGUGCGCCUCGCAUCAUCGACGCCCUGCGACCCUUCCACCGUUUCUUUCUGCACCGUUGCCAUUGACUUGGAAGGCCGUGUGUGUGUUUGGCUUUCCAUUCUCGGGGCCUGAGAAAUGUGUUAGCAUUACGAGGUGUGACCCCAUUAAGGGAGGGGGGAGCCUGGCAUGUGCCACACUAGUUUUGCUCAGCCAUAGCCACCUUUGCAUCUGUUCCCGCUAAAUGACAUUGUCAGCCAGAGGCAAACCUUACGUCAUUCACUCGAUUUUGCUGCAAGGGCAUCUGCUCAAGCUAGCUUCCACACGGUAUGCUUGUUGUCUCUUGUCCUCCGAUAAAACCUGGCUGCACAAUGUCAGACGGAAAAACAAACAAAAAAUAGCCCAAGUAUGUGCAACCUGUGUGUUUGCAUUCUACUGUUCAGCACAACAGUUGGCAAAGCACUAUCGGUGCUUUUUUGACUGUGCUCGCGACACCCCGAGAGACAGAGGCUGGCUUGUGUGAAUGCCUUGGUGCUUCUGGCUUUGGUGAACGGCCAGUCCAGUGCUGUCUGGAAGGACCGAAGGAGUUCAGGCUAUGCUUCUUCUGUCCAGUCCUUCAAGUUCAAUGAGCCUGGUACACAUUGCCUGCCACUCAAGACUGUGCUCCUCUUCUCAGUUAAAAUGUGGAACGAGCCUGGAAGCGCAGGCUCAGUGGUUUUCACACUUAACGUGUAGCAGACAGCAAAGGUGAAUGGGCUCUAUAAGAUGCUUUCUCUGUGCUGAACAACAGUCACAGCACAUUUGCUGUAGCUAAAAAAUGAGGGUUGCUACUACGUAGUCAACUGACUACUGGCAAACAUUGGAACAGGUACAUUCGUUCCCCUCCUCCCCGUAUAUCCUCAGCCUCCUCUUGAAGCAACUGUCACGGCUGCAAAUCAGAAACCGCAAAUCAUCCUUAUUUCUAGGCUUGAUGGCAGUGCAGGCUCUUUGCACUUAUAGACGUGAAGCAAGCACAAGUUGUAGGCAUGGCUGAUGCUCGCUUUGAUCAAAAAGGCACAACCAUUGACGUCACGUGCCAAGUUGUACCUGGCCCUUGUUGAGCGGGAAGUUUUCUUCUAAAAGCCAAGCCAAGCCAGCUUUUCCUGGGGCUCACCUCGUUUGUGUUAGUGCGGGUAGCUGGUGCGGGAAGAAAUGUCAAAUGCAAUACUUUUUUCCGCCGGGACUGCGACAAGCAUGCACGGUGAUUAUGGCGACCGGCGUGAUGCCGCGUCGCGAGGACAGUCAGUACCACUGCAAGAAAUCGCCGAUGUUCGUCCGUCGAGGUCUUUUACCGUCUUUCCUCUUUCAAUGUGUCCCUGUUAUUGCUGUUGUUGUUACGUUUUCUUUCUUCUUUUUCGCACUGCUAUUUGUGAAAAUGGAAGACAAACAGCUGUGUGUUGUUGUCAGCACAGGUGCCCCUCUUUUUGUUGUUUCGUGUCACUCACCUCGUAGUGUUCAUUAUUUCUUACUUUUAUAGUGUCGGCCUGCCUGUUUCCUUUCUUUUUUUUGGGGGGGGGGGGGGGGGGCAUGUUUAAUUCUAGACUUGAGAAGUUUUAAUGUUUGUUGUUUUGUUUGUUAUUGUUGUGUGAGUGAAUAGGAGCCACUGUGACAAGUGGGGAGUAUUCUUUAUGAUCUGGUGUGCGAGACGAGCUUGCUUUAGGUGGCGCAACCUGAAACUGUCGUGCAACAUGCAGCCUCGACGCUACAGUUAUAGACGCAAGUUGUGUGUACAAAGCGUCGAGUGAGAGAGCGCAAUGUUUUAGCGUGACCGGCUCUCCCCCUGCAUUCGUCUUAUGGGUGUGGGGGAGUAAGCGGCGGUUCGGUAUAUCCCGUAGACGCAGCGAAAGCGUUGCUCCGCAGUUACAGUUUGCGUUUCCCAGUGUGUGCGCUUUUUCUGGCUGUUUUUCUGAACGGUUGGUAUUUCCGUUGCCCUGUUCGGCGUACAUGUGUGUAUGUUUGUGCGCGCGCGUUUUCAUCCAUUGUUGCCCCUUUUCGGCUGUUGUGUGGCGGCAGAUGGAAACACAACUUCCGUGUGGAAAGCCUUGUUCACUCAUAGCUCACUUGUCGUCAUUCCCGUUGCCCGUUUCGCAGAAUUUCACAGAAUCGCUUGUGUGGGGGUGCGUGCAUUCGGGCCUGUUAUGAGAGGUAGGCCCGUGUGCCGAUUUUAGGCGGGAAGUUGGUUUCGAGGCCAUCUAACUUGCAAUUAAUGGCCUUGAAGAGAGUUGGAAGUGUACUCUGCAACAUCAAAUUUGCAGUGGAACAAAACUGGAUGCAGUAGGAAUCUUGGCAAUGUAAAGCCUUGCGUAAUAGAAACAGCAUCAUCCAAAAUGCAUGUCAUCAGAAACAAACGAAAUUGGCAUGACGAAGCAGCAGAUUUGCAUUCAUUCAAAGUGAUUUAAAGCUGAUUACAGCCAAGUUAUUUUUCUGGACACCGGUACAAACUGCAGAAAUGUCAGAGUAAUCGGGCAGUUUAAGGACCUCGCUACAGCAGCAACAGACCUAAAUGGUUACGUGGCGUCGUUAAUCAUGUAACUGCUGGUAUAGUGACGACUCAUGGAUCCGUAUCAACCAGAACGAUGCAGAAGAGCAUCUGAUGACUCGAAACUCUGAACAUUCUGCACAAUGCGCUUUAGCUGGAGAACUUGCAUAUUCAUAUAAACCGUGAUCAUACACUCAAGAUUCCACUGUAUCUCGGCAUUUUUCGGGCACCUGUCAGAUGCAUUUCAUAUUUUGGCGCAUGUAGCAGAAAGCUUUCAUGCUUUGUCACUUGGCCUGCAAGUGACCAUUCGGCAUCCCCACAUCGCUUAGUGCAGUAUGAGGAACAUUUUGUUGAAUGAGCAUUCAGGGACUCUAGAAAAGACAGUUUCCGUGGCUUUUCUUUUUUUUUUCUUGCUUUUUCAUGAGAUAUAUUUGUGCUUUUUAUGUGAAUUCAUUGACCUUAGUGCAAAAAGGCAGGUGUCAUUCACUGCUCACCUGGUCGCUGCAGCUCAUUUCAUAAUGGCGUGCCUACAGUGAGAGUUAUUACUGUCUGUGGCAGUAAAAUGUUCAUAGUGCAGUCCACCUAGAACGAUACCAGUCGUAACAAUUAUCACUUGUAGCAGUGACCGUUGUCUGCUACAUAACACUCUGAAGGUGCGCAAAAUCAGCUCGGACGUAAUCACAUGCAGUUAUGGUUGCAUUUUAACACGUUUUCCCAUCAUCGUUGUAAGUGGACUGCACAUAAUUUACUUCUGCAAAUGUUACAAAAGAUCCUAGUGUUCAUUCAUCUGAGAACAUAAUUCCUCACUUUUUUUUUUUUCUCUGCACAAUGAACGUUGCUGUUGAACGCACAUGGUCUGUGCACUCUGCGCAGGUUGCUGCAAUGUUCCUUGCACAAGCACAUUCGUUUCUUUAGCACAUGCAGCAUCCAUUGUAUGCACUACACAACUGCAGCAGAACCGAACACGCAAAUGUUUGUCGCUGCAGAUAGGUGAGGGCAUCUCAUUCGUCACAACUGGCACCGCUUUAAUGGGAAGCCAGGACGCCAAAGGGAAACGCUAUAGAUUGGGCUGGACCACUGCAUUCGCCUUUCGGGAGUAUGUCUCAGCGUUAACGUGGUUCAAGAAGCAUUAUUGGCAGACAAGUAGCGAUUGAAGGCUGCCGAGCUUCCAUUUUGCUAGUGCCCAAACUACAACACUGCUGACACUGUUUUGCGACUGUUGAGACAUUGCAAUCUUUUUUUCUUUUUUUCCGAUACUAGGACUUUUUUUUUUUAAUGCACAAAGCGUACAAAUGUUUCGAGCCUAAUUUCUUUUUUUUUUUUCAAUUGUUCAGUUGGAUAAUCAUUACACUCACAACUGCAAAAUAGAACAGAAAAAAACAAAAACAUUGUUAGAUUUCUGCGUAUAAACUGCACAGAUAACCCCAGGAGAUGAAAAAAUUCUUCUUUCGAUGAGAUGACAAACAGAUACUGUUUAUUUGAAUCUUAAUUGUAACCGUAGCAUGGCAUGUUGGUGCUUUUACGACUUCUAGAUGUUUUUCAAAUCAGGCUUUAGAAAUCCAUAAGGUGAUUCUAUUCCCCGACAGUCACAAAUGUUAACCAUUGCAAAGCUGUCUUGUUGUUAUCCAUCUAAUAGCCACGUACCACCUUUUUUGCACGAAAUCUCUAAAAGAAGAAAAAAAGAGAGGAAAAACUCACAAGCACAAGUCGAUGCCGCGCUCAGCCGGCUAACUUGCGUCACUCAUUCAUUUCUGCAGCUUGCAGCAUCACAAAGAGCAGCUUUGGGAAUUCGAGGGUAGCUUUGCUGCUACUCGUCUCUUGCGCUCACAUAAUUUUUCUGGCAUGCGAGGUUUAUCUGCUACCUGUCUGCCAUUUGACAAGCGCCACCUAGCAGAUAAACCUGUCCCAGUUUUCCUUUGGUGUCCUUCCGAUUCUUGCACGUUUCUGGCAGUUACAGUACCUCAAUUUCUCCGCGGUGCUUCUAGGCACCUGGUCAAGUCGCACUUGUCGUUGUUGAUGUUUCUUUUUUUUUUCUCUCUCUCUCUUUUCGUGCGUGUGUAUGCGUGUUCAAAGUACUACUCGAAGCGGGUUUUCAAAUGUGUGCGUCCUAGUCAUGAUGUCCCCACCUUUACAUUAUCCUGCACAAAAAAAAAAAGAAAAGAUAGAAAAACAAGUGUCAGGUUGACACUCGUCGUACAAACUAAAUGAGAGGGAAAAAUGAAAGCGACAAAGAUCAGUUGCGAGAUAUUUGGCGCCUUGUUUGCGCUCCCUACAUGUGGAGAUGCUGUUUGUCAAUGGCACAAAGCGACACGAUGUGAAAGAUUUAAAAAAAAAGAAGAAGAAAAAAAAAAAGAUUCCCGAGAUGGCACAUGCACGGUUCUCGAAAGCUGGAUUCAUGGUGUCGGUCGCCUCUCGCAGUACAAAAAAUCCGUGCCAAGAAAGAGACACUUCUCGUUCUUUCCGCCGCGCCCCGAGCAGUCAGCUCCCUUUGUAAAAAAUUUGGCUCGGCUCUCCAUCGCCCAUCUCUCACCUUUCGCAUCCUUCAUUGUUUUCUUUGUUUCGCGUCUCAUGACUGCACUGUGUCCUCGUCCUUCGCCAAUGAAGCCGUUGUUUCUCAGCCAGCUUCAUCCCUCUUACGUCUCUCCCCCCCUGCCCCCUCUCCUUUCCACUUGUUUGAGUAAUAUAAGCGUAACCCUAGUGCCAAGAUACCAGUCAUCAUCCUGUCCUCAUUGUUCAUGGUGUCAUCUCGCUGUAUUUAUUUUUAGCUUGGAUCAUGUCAUCUCCUGCGACUCGUCACUUUUGCCGUCGUAAAACAGAAGCCUAUGGCGGGGAUUUGCCAAGGCCAACCAGUCGCGUCAUCACCACGACAGGUUGUUUGAUGUUGUAAAAUUGUGGCCCCUGUACAUAGACAGUUGCUGGUUCCCAUAUUCCAAUUGCUCUCAACUCCCCACUUUCUUUCUGUCAGUCGUUUGUCCAGUUUGAUGCCCCGUGUCUUUUCAUCACGUUCCAUGCGUUACUGCCGUUCGGCUACACCACCUUUUUCACAUCAUCCUGCAUCGGACCAUUGUCACAUGCAUAACUUUCUCAAGCAUUAUUUUUGGUCGUUUAAAUCAUCCAUACAGAAGGAUUGGCUUUUUCACCUGUUAACACCAUUUUCAGCAACUGUACGUUGGACCCAAGUGUUGGAGAAAUGCUGGUGCAGUACUUCACAAGUGAAUGCGUACGCAGUAGGCUGGUGUUAUCGUGAAAUCAAGCCUUGGUGGCCUUUACUGAAUUAGAGAGCUGCGAUUCUGGGCAGGAUGUUUAGCAUGUGGUAGGAAGGAAAAAAAAAAGAAAAAGAUAGCGCUGUGUUUGCAGCCAAUAGAAAGCAGAAGAGACAACAUUUGGCCCAUUUGAUUUGCCCUGAACUUGAUGAAUUGGUUCACGCCAGUUCAGUGCUACUUCCUGCGUGUGCAUACCACCAUGUUGAACUAACGAAACGGAGAGCCAAGUGUAGCACCUCCUGAACUAGUUUACAACAUGCAGGCGAAUCGAACGAACCUAACCUGCUCGUCGAUUUAGCCAAAGCAGUUGGGUGUUGUAACAGCUUGAUGUGAGUGCUGCGCAUCAGAUUCACUAGGAUUGGCCGUCGCAUUACAUUCCUUGCUGUCACACAGCGUUCUUGUGCUGUGCGAGAAUUGGGUCCGUAAUCUUUUGAAGGUAACUACAAAUUCAUACGGGAUACCAAGGCUCACGAUAUUGCAGGGAGCCACCUUGGUGCCCGGUUGCAUAAUGCUUCACAUGGUUAUAUUCGAAGACAUUGUUGCAUAAUGAAAAGCAUCUGUCCAGCAAGAAUGUUGUACACCGCCCAAGAAUUGCAGCUCCCAAUUCACAGGCAUGUGGCCAUUUUGUAAAUUUUUCUUACUCAGGAAUGAUCUUAAUGUUCAAAUGAUUUUUAAAUUUUUUUUUUUUUGUCAAGGCUCACAAGCAAGCAGUAGCAUCAAGUUUUGACUGGACCUUUUGCUUUGGAAAAAGUAUGUGACUGCACCAAGAAUGAACCUUGUCUGUCAAGGUAGUGACUGACUUUGUUGAUGAAUAUGUUACAGCUGUCAGCUGGACGGCAUAUGUGGAAGACAUACCACCUCAUACGAGUUGUACAUUAGGAACACUGUUCCUGGGAUAUUGGCCUGAUGCACUGCACAAUUGCAUUGUCAUAGUUUUUUCGCAGCAGGUUCAUUGUCAUAACGCAUUUCUAGCCUCCAACUGUGCUUGGUUGUUGUUGCAUUGAUGGAAGGGGUCUCGUGCGCACGCAUGUGUCACGAUAAAGCCCGCAGCCGCUGAUUACACAAAAGGGAGUGUUUAGCGUAGCUUGUUAGGUGCACAGAAGCAAUUCACUGGUGUUUUUGGCGUGUGGGGGGUUGAGGGGGUUCUUGGCCUAGCAUUGCAAAGCGCUGCAGUUUAUAUGCAAGGAAGGCACCGGUGUGGAAGAAAGGAGGACAGUGCAAACGUGGCAUCUCAAAGCGUGAGAGAGGCUCUCGUGUGCCAUCGUCGAAGCAGUAGCCUUAUGCAGUGAAAGUUCUGCUCAUGUGCUUAGAAGUCCUCUGUGUGCACGUUUUUUGUCCCAGACUUCUUGGCGCUUGCGUAAUUCAGCAUUGCCGGGAUUAUGUCUAGCUCGAGCGCGCUGUCGACUUGUCUCAAAGAAAGAUGCAAGCCACUGUCUGCCUGCUCGCUUGGCCUGUGAGGAAACAGAAUAGCUGGAGCCAGCACUGAGAAGGUGAAAGCAAACUGUCUCGCAGUGGUAGAAGGCAGUGCACAGGGACAAACAACAGAAAAAAGCAGAACUCUGCUUGUUCUGCUUUUUCAAUUUUUUUUUUUUUUUUACUGUUUCUGCACAGUUUCUUUUCUCUAGCAGUUGUCCCGUCUCCAAGUUCAAGCUUGUCGUUUCUUGCUGUGUUAGUUGCGAUGCAAGUGUUGUUACAUCAAAAAUGAAAGAGAGCGAGUUUGAUGGCACCGCACGUGGCAUGUUGUGUGUUACGGUGCCAUCCUGGUGGUGAAAGGAGGAGGCCAAACGGCAGGCAAGGGAAAAGUGUGUAUGUGUGUGUGCGUGUUUAGAAGGUUUCGAGAGUGUUGCACAGGGUUUUUUCCAUUUGUCUACUACUGCCCCGCGCAGAUUGUGGUCCAGUUAUCUAUGCUUGAUGCUGCGAGUGGUAGGCGAUGAGCAAGUUUUUUCCACGUGUUGCAAGGUUUGUGCACAGCCUGUGCUCAGGCGGAGAGAAAGGGAAGGGGGCAGUGGUGAACGGAGCAAGCAUCGCUCCUGCACACAAAACUGUGAUCAGUGCAGGCAGGAUUGUGAUACUUUGUGGACGAGAAGAGAAGCGUAGUACCCGUGAAAGGAUGGAGAGGGAGAACGAGUUGCAACGAUGGCCUGGCUUGCGAAACCAGCUAUAGAUGCAGACGGCCGUGUACACAGAAUGCAUGCAGCCAUGAAGCAUGCUGCUUCCAUCUAGAGCUUUCUCAUAUUUAACAUUGAAUUUGUCGCUGUACUGCUGGGGUCACUGCUCCAGCAGCAAGAGUUGGCUGCAGUUUCUGGCCUGCUGCGGUUGGCUUCUAGCCUCCCCCAAAAGUUAGCUUUUUUUUGUUGUUGUUGUUCUGGUCUCUCUCGACAGAUUCAGAGAAGGCAGUGAGAUGCAGCAGCUUGCUUCCUAGCUGACAAACUGUCCCACAGGCCAUUUCGCCACCACGGAUGGCGAGAGAAAGUUGACGCACCUGAAUGGUGUCAGUGUGACACCUGUCAGCUCCCUCCCGCGCUGUGGCAAUGCGAGGUAAACCAAAGGAGCCAACCGGUUCCCGCAGCCAGUGCCAUAGGUCCUGCAGAGUCGGACGUUGUGUGGCCUUUUUUUCUCGUUUUCCUUUUAAUCCAAGAGUUGAGCAGGGUUGUGGGUGUUUGUACACGAAAGAAAAGAAAGGCCAGAGUGGUGCUAUAGCGACAGCCGUCUUCCUCACGAGGUGGUGGCAUGCUUUGCUAGAUUGUGUUGUCUGUUUGCGGGAGUGAGAAUGGCCUGAAGGGGGGUUGGGGGGAAGUGGGCACUGUGGUGUAAGAGAGACGAGUGUCAGCUUUGCUUGUGAGAGAAGGCACAGAACCUAAGUCACUAGCACCCCCGUAACGUGCACGAGGGUGGUGAUAUACUCAACGAAUUACAACUAUCAGUCCUUCUCAUGCGCCCUUAUUUCAUUGUCCGUUUUUACAGUUGGCGUGUUGUUGGUUCAAUGCUUGGGGCUGGAGGGCUGGUAAAAGUGUUCCCGCGUGUUGCUGUUCACGUGAGGCAGAGAGCGUUCAUUCAUGACUGUUUCCGUCAUUUUUCUUUUUUCCCCAAUUUUUUUUUUUACCUGGAUGACCCCUUUGUGCACUGUCUUUCCCCCCUCUACCGAGAAGUGGGGAGGGAGGAAGGUGGCUUGAAGAGGGUGCAUUGUCGUGUGUUCUCGCGACUUGAAAGGCUUUGUACAUUUGCUCACGGCUGUAGAAUAUUGUAAAUAUAUGUACAAGUCAUUUGGAGGGUUUCAAAGAGAUAGUAAAGGGUUUGUAUCUCAGAACCGAGAA
Dermacentor silvarum is the source of this 11840-nucleotide RNA transcript. It is a transcript of the gene named ski oncogene, with no coding region annotated. The record is from RefSeq and is a predicted model, not a curated record. NCBI's taxonomy places the organism in Eukaryota, Metazoa, Arthropoda, Arachnida, Ixodida, Ixodidae. The transcript is spliced from 7 exons.